GAAUUUUUCAGCUCCAUUGUAAUCUUAUGGCACCACCAUCCCAUAGGCAAUCAAAAUGUCAUUAUGUGGUACACGACUUUAUUCAGCUCUAGGAACAUAUAUCUUAUAUGCAUAUAAUCUGGUAGCAGUGACAAUCCAUUAAAGGUUAUUGAAGAGGAAUAUGAUUCAAUGAGAGUCUUGUUUAUGAAAAAUUAUCUGGCUACAGUGCUUACAAGGAGAGGAUGGUGUGGAGAACUGAAAUUCCGCUAAGAACACCUUAGGAUUCCCUAUAGGGUAAAGUGAAGAUCUUCAACUGGGCGUUGUGGAUUUAGAUGUGUAUGAGAAAUCCAGAUUAUCCUACAGGGUAUUACAAAGCUCAGAAUGGUAAACUUUAAGUCACUGUAGCUAGUUCUGAUUUUUACAAUUGAAAUUACACUUGAUGCCACUAUUUUCCAUAAGUGAUGCUUCUGACAUUUUAUGCAAACUUCAGUUUAUAUAUAAAAUUGGAUGCUCUGAAUGCUUUGAUUAGCAUGGUCUUACCUGAGCUAGUUAAAACAUGAUUUUAAUAAGACCAAAGAUCAAGAUUUCCUUCAGAAGCCAACUCCAAGUGAAGUUGUCCUCCUCAUGCGAACUACAGCUUAAAUUCCGGACAUAACAGCUUAGCUUCCAGAUGACUGUACCUAAGCCUGAAUUCUAAGCAUUGUGCCUUUGUAAUAUUAAAUUUUCUAGCCUGUCUGUGCUAGGGCAUGAGGGUAAACAGGUUAAAAAUCUAUAUGCAAAUUUCAAGAAGAUGACACGUUUGAAAGAAAAAAAAAGGUAUUUGUAAAUUGGGCAAGUGAAAAAUAGUAAAAGUAUUUUCCACAAAUAUUAGUAAAAAGCUUUAGUCAACUGGGCAAGACAUCUUAACUUGUUCCAACUACCAGAAACACAAUUCAAAUCUAGGUAUUCUUCUAUAAACUAGUGAGUUCAGCAUUAUUAUACCUGACACAUG
This 970-nucleotide long non-coding RNA is filed under the name Homo sapiens (human). RNAcentral's name for it is "HSALNT0313064". The record is from RNAcentral. Lineage: Eukaryota; Metazoa; Chordata; Mammalia; Primates; Hominidae.